This 24-nucleotide microRNA is filed under the name Monodelphis domestica (gray short-tailed opossum). RNAcentral describes it as "mdo-miR-7398w-5p". The record is from miRBase by way of RNAcentral. Lineage: Eukaryota; Metazoa; Chordata; Mammalia; Didelphimorphia; Didelphidae.
UGUGUAGAGCCAAGAAAUACGUCG